This 286-nucleotide unclassified non-coding RNA is filed under the name plant metagenome. RNAcentral describes it as "partial contains small subunit ribosomal RNA, internal transcribed spacer 1, and 5.8S ribosomal RNA". The stretch from base 1 to 54 matches the Rfam family "Eukaryotic small subunit ribosomal RNA", at positions 1778 to 1831 of the family's 1831-position model. The record is from RNAcentral.
GGAAGUAAAAGUCGUAACAGGGUUUCCGUAGGUGAACCUGCGGAAGGAUCAUUAUUGAAACUUCAUCCGGGGCGCCGCGGCCCUCAGCACCGGUGGAAACGCCGUGCUGCGGGGGCCGCGCGUGCACUCGUCCAAACCAAACCCCUGUGAACCUUACGGGAUGGCCCGGGUUAGCGCCCGGUGCCGUUCCGCUUUAUACAAACACUUAUCAAAGAAUGAACUGAAGGCGGUCUGACCGCUGGAUAACAAACUGAAACAACUUUCAACAACGGAUCUCUUGGCUCUC